UUGAUCCUGGCUCAGGACGAACGCUGGCGGCGUGCUUAACACAUGCAAGUCGGACGGUGAACCGCUUUCGGGUGGGGAUCAGUGGCGAACGGGUGAGUAACACGUGAGUAACCUGCCCUUCACUCUGGGAUAACUCCGGGAAACCGGGGCUAAUACUGGAUAUGACCUACUCGGGCAUCCGAUGUGGGUGGAAAGAUUUAUUGGUGGGGGAUGGACUCGCGGCCUAUCAGCUUGUUGGUGAGGUAAUGGCUCACCAAGGCGACGACGGGUAGCCGGCCUGAGAGGGCGAUCGGCCACACUGGGACUGAGACACGGCCAGACUCCUACGGGAGGCAGCAGUGGGGAAUAUUGCACAAUGGGCGAAAGCCUGAUGCAGCGACGCCGCGUGAGGGAUUAAGGCCUUCGGGUUGUAAACCUCUUUCAGCAGGGAAGAAGCGGUUGGGUUUUCCCGGUCGUGACGGUACCUGCAGAAGAAGCACCGGCUAACUACGUGCCAGCAGCCGCGGUAAUACGUAGGGUGCGAGCGUUGUCCGGAAUUAUUGGGCGUAAAGAGCUUGUAGGCGGUUUGUCGCGUCUGCUGUGAAAUUUCGGGGCUCAACCCCGAACUUGCAGUGGGUACGGGCAGACUAGAGUGUGGUAGGGGAGACUGGAAUUCCUGGUGUAGCCGGUUGAAAUGCGCAGAUAUCAGGAGGAACACCGAUGGCGAAGGCAGGUCUCUGGGCCAUACUGACGCUGAGAAGCGAAAGCAUGGGGAGCGAACAGGAU
RNAcentral lists this ribosomal RNA (765 nucleotides) under uncultured Actinomycetes bacterium. RNAcentral's name for it is "bacterial SSU rRNA". It matches the Rfam family "Bacterial small subunit ribosomal RNA", at positions 13 to 778 of the family's 1533-position model. Lineage: Bacteria; Bacillati; Actinomycetota; Actinomycetes. The record is from RNAcentral.